RNAcentral lists this ribosomal RNA (2461 nucleotides) under Salmonella enterica subsp. enterica serovar Typhimurium. RNAcentral's name for it is "bacterial LSU rRNA". It matches the Rfam family "Bacterial large subunit ribosomal RNA", at positions 582 to 2925 of the family's 2925-position model. Lineage: Bacteria; Pseudomonadati; Pseudomonadota; Gammaproteobacteria; Enterobacterales; Enterobacteriaceae. The record is from RNAcentral.
CCCUUCGGGGUGUGACUGCGUACCUUUUGUAUAAUGGGUCAGCGACUUAUAUUCUGUAGCAAGGUUAACCGUAUAGGGGAGCCGGAGGGAAACCGAGUCUUAACCGGGCGUUAAGUUGCAGGGUAUAGACCCGAAACCCGGUGAUCUAGCCAUGGGCAGGUUGAAGGUUGGGUAACACUAACUGGAGGACCGAACCGACUAAUGUUGAAAAAUUAGCGGAUGACCUGUGGCUGGGGGUGAAAGGCCAAUCAAACCGGGAGAUAGCUGGUUCUCCCCGAAAGCUAUUUAGGUAGCGCCUCGUGAAUUCAUCUCCGGGGGUAGAGCACUGUUUCGGCUAGGGGGCCAUCCCGGCUUACCAACCCGAUGCAAACUGCGAAUACCGGAGAAUGUUAUCACGGGAGACACACGGCGGGUGCUAACGUCCGUCGUGAAGAGGGAAACAACCCAGACCGCCAGCUAAGGUCCCAAAGUCAUGGUUAAGUGGGAAACGAUGUGGGAAGGCCCAGACAGCCAGGAUGUUGGCUUAGAAGCAGCCAUCAUUUAAAGAAAGCGUAAUAGCUCACUGGUCGAGUCGGCCUGCGCGGAAGAUGUAACGGGGCUAAACCAUGCACCGAAGCUGCGGCAGCGAACGUAUCACCCAAGACAACUUUACGGAGUUGACGAUUGACGGAGCGAAGCGACGUCAAAGCGUUCAUUAAAGUCGAGUUGGCUUAGGGAUACGUUCGUUGGGUAGGGGAGCGUUCUGUAAGCCUGUGAAGGUGUGUCGUGAGGCAUGCUGGAGGUAUCAGAAGUGCGAAUGCUGACAUAAGUAACGAUAAAGCGGGUGAAAAGCCCGCUCGCCGGAAGACCAAGGGUUCCUGUCCAACGUUAAUCGGGGCAGGGUGAGUCGACCCCUAAGGCGAGGCCGAAAGGCGUAGUCGAUGGGAAACGGGUUAAUAUUCCCGUACUUGGUGUUACUGCGAAGGGGGGACGGAGAAGGCUAUGUUGGCCGGGCGACGGUUGUCCCGGUUUAAGCGUGUAGGUGUGUGUUCCAGGUAAAUCCGGUUCACUUUAACACUGAGGCGUGACGACGAGGCACUACGGUGCUGAAGCAACAAAUGCCCUGCUUCCAGGAAAAGCCUCUAAGCAUCAGGUAACACGAAAUCGUACCCCAAACCGACACAGGUGGUCAGGUAGAGAAUACCAAGGCGCUUGAGAGAACUCGGGUGAAGGAACUAGGCAAAAUGGUGCCGUAACUUCGGGAGAAGGCACGCUGACACGUAGGUGAAGUGAUUUACUCAUGGAGCUGAAGUCAGUCGAAGAUACCAGCUGGCUGCAACUGUUUAUUAAAAACACAGCACUGUGCAAACACGAAAGUGGACGUAUACGGUGUGACGCCUGCCCGGUGCCGGAAGGUUAAUUGAUGGGGUCAGCGUAAGCGAAGCUCCUGAUCGAAGCCCCGGUAAACGGCGGCCGUAACUAUAACGGUCCUAAGGUAGCGAAAUUCCUUGUCGGGUAAGUUCCGACCUGCACGAAUGGCGUAAUGAUGGCCAGGCUGUCUCCACCCGAGACUCAGUGAAAUUGAACUCGCUGUGAAGAUGCAGUGUACCCGCGGCAAGACGGAAAGACCCCGUGAACCUUUACUAUAGCUUGACACUGAACAUUGAGCCUUGAUGUGUAGGAUAGGUGGGAGGCUUUGAAGUGUGGACGCCAGUCUGCAUGGAGCCGACCUUGAAAUACCACCCUUUAAUGUUUGAUGUUCUAACGUGGACCCGUAAUCCGGGUUGCGGACAGUGUCUGGUGGGUAGUUUGACUGGGGCGGUCUCCUCCUAAAGAGUAACGGAGGAGCACGAAGGUUGGCUAAUCCUGGUCGGACAUCAGGAGGUUAGUGCAAUGGCAUAAGCCAGCUUGACUGCGAGCGUGACGGCGCGAGCAGGUGCGAAAGCAGGUCAUAGUGAUCCGGUGGUUCUGAAUGGAAGGGCCAUCGCUCAACGGAUAAAAGGUACUCCGGGGAUAACAGGCUGAUACCGCCCAAGAGUUCAUAUCGACGGCGGUGUUUGGCACCUCGAUGUCGGCUCAUCACAUCCUGGGGCUGAAGUAGGUCCCAAGGGUAUGGCUGUUCGCCAUUUAAAGUGGUACGCGAGCUGGGUUUAGAACGUCGUGAGACAGUUCGGUCCCUAUCUGCCGUGGGCGCUGGAGAACUGAGGGGGGCUGCUCCUAGUACGAGAGGACCGGAGUGGACGCAUCACUGGUGUUCGGGUUGUCAUGCCAAUGGCACUGCCCGGUAGCUAAAUGCGGAAGAGAUAAGUGCUGAAAGCAUCUAAGCACGAAACUUGCCCCGAGAUGAGUUCUCCCUGAGACUUAGAGUCUCCUGAAGGAACGUUGAAGACGACGACGUUGAUAGGCCGGGUGUGUAAGCGCAGCGAUGCGUUGAGCUAACCGGUACUAAUGAACCGUGAGGCUUAACCUUACAACGCCGAAG